RNAcentral lists this ribosomal RNA (301 nucleotides) under uncultured bacterium. RNAcentral's name for it is "partial 16S ribosomal RNA". It matches the Rfam family "Bacterial small subunit ribosomal RNA", at positions 509 to 807 of the family's 1533-position model. The record is from RNAcentral.
CAGUCGCCGCGGGAAUACGUAGGGUGCGAGCGUUAAUCGGAAUUACUGGGCGUAAAGCGUGCGCAGGCGGUUGUGUAAGACAGGUGUGAAAUCCCCGGGCUUAACCUGGGAACUGCGCUUGUGACUGCACAGCUAGAGUAUAGCAGAGGGGGGUGGAAUUCCACGUGUAGCAGUGAAAUGCGUAGAGAUGUGGAGGAACACCGAUGGCGAAGGCAGCCCCCUGGGCCAAUACUGACGCUCAUGCACGAAAGCGUGGGGAGCAAACAGGAUUAGAUACCCCCGUAGUCCCUGUCUCUUAUAC